CCUACGGGAGGCAGCAGUAAGGGAUAUUGGUCAAUGGGGGAAACCCUGAACCAGCAACGCCGCGUGGAGGACGAAGGAUUUCGGUCUGUAAACUCCUUUUGCAGGGGACGAGUAAGGACGGUACCCUGCGAAUCAGUCACGGCUAACUACGUGCCAGCAGCCGCGGUAAAACGUAGGUGGCGAGCGUUAUCCGGAUUUACUGGGCGUAAAGGGUGUGCAGGCGGACUGCUAAGUGGUGCAUGAAAUCUCCGCGCUUAACGUGGAGAGGCUGUGCCAGACUGACAGUCUGGAGUACGUGAGAGGGUUGUGGAAUUCCGGGUGUAGUGGUGAAAUGCGUAGAGAUCCGGAGGAACACCAGAGGCGAAGGCGGCAACCUGGCACGUUACUGACGCUCAUACACGACAGCAUGGGGAGCGAACGGGAUUAGAAACCCCGGUAGUCCAUGCCGUAAACGAUGAUAGCUGGGCGUGUCGGGGUGCAAACCCUGCGGUGUCGAAGUCAACACGAUAAGCUAUCCGCCUGGGGAGUACGGUCGCAAGGCUAAAACUCAAAUGAAUUGACGG
Molecule: ribosomal RNA, 563 nt
Filed under: uncultured bacterium
Lineage: Bacteria
Description: bacterial SSU rRNA
Rfam family: Bacterial small subunit ribosomal RNA
Source: RNAcentral